RNAcentral lists this transfer RNA (76 nucleotides) under Candidatus Brocadiia bacterium. RNAcentral describes it as "Candidatus Brocadiae bacterium (aquatic metagenome) tRNA-Gln". It matches the Rfam family "tRNA". Rfam says of the family: Transfer RNA (tRNA) molecules are approximately 80 nucleotides in length. Their secondary structure includes four short double-helical elements and three loops (D, anti-codon, and T loops). Further hydrogen bonds mediate the characteristic L-shaped molecular structure. tRNAs have two regions of fundamental functional importance: the anti-codon, which is responsible for specific mRNA codon recognition, and the 3' end, to which the tRNAs corresponding amino acid is attached (by aminoacyl-tRNA synthetases). tRNAs cope with the degeneracy of the genetic code in two manners: having more than one tRNA (with a specific anti-codon) for a particular amino acid; and 'wobble' base-pairing, i.e. permitting non-standard base-pairing at the 3rd anti-codon position. Lineage: Bacteria; Pseudomonadati; Planctomycetota; Candidatus Brocadiia. The record is from RNAcentral.
UGGGGAAUGGUGCAAUUGGUAGCACGCCUGACUCUGGAUCAGGAAGUUGGGGGUUCGAGUCCUCCUUCCCCAGCCA